UCCCAAGAGCAGUGGUUGCCUUUGACCUUGCUGCUGGCUACGGGAGGCUUUCCCCAUGCUUAUGUGUGCCUGCCAGUCUGGAACUGAGAAAAAAAGAAAAGCAAGGAGGUGCGAAUGGCCUGAUGGGAAGAAUUCCUGACCACAGCCAUCAGUGGAUUUGCAGUUCUGAGCACCCCAACUGUGGCAGAGGGGACUUAGAUUUUACAAGCCCAAAGUGUCGUGCAACAUGUGGGCCCUGAGGCCUAUAAACACUGUGACGCGUUCACACUAGCAAGUUCUAACGUUUAAAGAUGCCGUUAACGGACCGUGCGGAAGCUUGGCUCUUAACUCUCACUGAGAAUAAAUCGUGUUGAAACUGCUCCAACCCAGUCUUCAUUUGAAAGCUGCAUUUCUUCAGACUUCAGACGAGAGGCUGUAGACAACAGGAAUUCACCUCACAGUUCUUUUUGUUUUCCUUUCCUCUCCUGGUCCAGAGUUUGAACACAACGCCUUCUACAUGCCAAAUAGGACAGUCUAGAUUCGGCACAUCUUUGGAAAUGCUAUCUAGAAGGCCUGGGCCUACAUGGUGAAGCUUGGAAAAGCUCUUUCAGAUUGUUUACUGAUGUCUGUCCUGUGACUGUGAAACAAUGGCCAAUGAAAUAAUAACGUCCAGGAGGGAAUAUUUCUCCAAUUAAAGUGAAUCACAGAACAGCACCAGAACAUGUGGAUGCCUCCUCUUCCUCCUCUGCAGCCCCUUUGUUACCUGGACCAUUUACAAGAUUCUGUGAUCCUUUUCUGGAUGUCCCAGUGUAGGGGAAGGCCAGAACAGGGGGUCGUCUGGUCUUUGAACGGUACCACAGGAUGGCUUCCCUCAAAUAUGCAUUUUAUGUCAUACAAAUGCAUCGCAUCCCAGAGCCACCUCAGGGAUGAAUCCCAGCGUGAAGCUAAUGGUUGAGAAGUCUCGUCGGAUAGCUCACCAGAUUAGAUUCCACCUCUUCCUCGAUUUUAGCUCAGUAAGCAGCAGCCCCACAGCCCUUCUGCAAGGGGUGCAUCCUUUUGUUCUAUUCCAACAGCUAAGAAUUCUGAGAAACAUGCUGUGAGACUUGAAGAAAGAAACUGGCAUCUAACUGACAUUUCCCUGAGGAAUGCUGAAUGCCCAGUCAUUUACCCAGUGUCUCAGAAGAAGCCUGUGAGCCUUUCUUCUCGCCCUUCCUCGUCCCAGCUCUGCAGUCUCUCUAUAAACACCCCAACGGCCCAAUUAGGCUUUGAAUGAGCAAAUGAAAUCAUCAAGUCAUUGAUUACACAGUUUAAUAAUUUUUUUUCAAAACCAAAAAUGACUUAGGAAGAUUAGCAGUAGUCAGAUACUGAAGAAAGCUUGAAAAACUUCAAUUCUCCUUUCUAGUAAAAGUACAACAGUAGCAUAUCUUGCUUUAUGUGUAAUAAUUGUCAUUGGCUGUUCUUAUAACAGUGGCUGGGACUUGGAUGCACAAUGCAAACAAUAAUGUAAUUCUGAUCUUUUAAAGACAGUGAAUUAUUGAAAAUUUCAAUGCUCUCCCUAUUCUUUUUUUUAAAAUUCCAUGCAUUUGUACAACUUCUUACUUCAAAGGACUGCGUGAGGUACUUCAGCUAUCACAUGUUAAGUAAAAUUAUAGGAAAUUAUCUUCUGCUCUACCAGUGGCAUUCUAAUAAUGUGUCCAAGCCAUCCGUACAGAUACAGACAAGGUAACUCUACCCCUGAAGACACAGGACUGGAAAUCCAGCCUUAGACAUUAGACAAUGUAUAAGCCAUUUAUUUAACUUUCCACCUUUAGGGGUUUUUUUUCAUCCAUCAGAAUAAGCAAGCUCUUAUAGGAUUGCUUUGGGAAUCAGAUCAUUUUACAUAAGAUCAAGCGGCAUGGAGCUUGUAAGGCACAGGAAAUAUCUAUAUGUGUACCUGACACACAAGGGCAUACAUGUGCAUAGGUGUGUAUGUGUGUGUGUCUAUAUACAUAUGUUCUAUCUACCUUAGUUCAUUUAUGUGUUACAGGAAUUGAUGAUGCUCUGGUUCUGAACAAACGUUCAGCUAGUAUGAUAACUACUAAAGAAAAGACCAACUCUGGCAUGAUGGUGCAUACUUCUAAUCUUAGAAGGCAGAGGCAGGAAGAUCACUGAGAUCUGCCGGUAGUGAGUUCCAGGAUAGUCUAGACUACACAGAGAGACCUCAUCUCAAAAAGCAAACGACAGCACAAAAGGGGAAGACAGCCUUUAGCAACAUUUCCUGGCCUUUCGUGAAACAGGAUUGGCAUGCUCAAACGAAGAACAUGGUUCCUUAUUGACAACACAGCAAUUUACUGCCCCUGGGAAAAUCUCUGAACCCAAAGAGGAUCUGGUUAGAUACAUGAGAAGCAAUCUGCUUUACUACAAGUUGAUUAGAUCUAUUUUAACAUUAUACUGAUCUCCUUGUUGUUGUUGAUUGACAUUUUGUGGUUUCGGCAUUUUUAAAAGAUAAUUUAUACCUAUCUCCCUCAAUGGGAGGUGGAGGCAAUCUAGGAGUGAGCUCCAUGUACAUCAGCAAAUAAUGGCAAGAGAUUCUUAAUGUAGAAUUUUUAUUUUCAUUUUUAUUUAUAUUUAUUAUUUUGUUUUUUAGUUUAUUUUCAGUAUGUGUAUAUGUGUGUACUUGUGGGCCAGAAGACAACUUUCUGGAGCCAGCCCUUUCCUUCCACAUAUCUAUGGGCUCUGGGGACUGAAGUAGAUCAUCAAUGCUUUUACUCAUGGAGUGUCUCAUGGACACCCAUGCAGAGAUUAGUUCAAGGGUCUUGUACCUAAUCUGCCUGCUCUUCUUUGUCCCAGUGAGGCAUCCUUGAUUGAUGCUUUAAAAAGACUUGGGGUUUGGCUUUGUGCUCAACAAAUUGUCACCACUUUUCUUUUUGACAAAUGUUAAAAAUAUUCAUUGUAGAAAAUAGAAAAAUACCAAAUUGAAAACCUUUUAAAAGCUAAUGGUAGUUCCACUCUUCACAAGAAUGACUGGAACUGCUUUGGGCUGUACUUUUUUUCCCUAGCCUUACUUUCUGUUUCUUUUUCUACAACAUUUAAAGUUGGUACCAAUUUACAGUGAAAGUUUUACAUUAUAUAUUUUAUUAGCAUUGUGUAAUUAAUACUUCCUCAUAAAAUUCUACUAUAUGUGUAUAGCUACCUUCACUAUUUAUACCUUGAGAUAUCUAGGUUGUUUUAAACAUGUCUUUAUUAAAAUAUAAUUAAAAUAUAAUAAAUAUCAAUGUUCACUAAAA
Molecule: long non-coding RNA, 3245 nt
Organism: Mastomys coucha (southern multimammate mouse)
Lineage: Eukaryota; Metazoa; Chordata; Mammalia; Rodentia; Muridae
Exons: 5
Source: RefSeq, a predicted model, not a curated record